GUGGGGAAUAUUGCGCAAUGGGGGAAACCCUGACGCAGCAACGCCGCGUGAUUGAAGAAGGCCUUCGGGUUGUAAAGAUCUUUAAUUGGGGACGAAUAAAUGACGGUACCCAAAGAAUAAGCACCGGCUAACUCCGUGCCAGCAGCCGCGGUAAUACGGAGGGUGCAAGCGUUAUCCGGCUUCACUGGGUUUAAAGGGUGCGUAGGCGGGUUGAUAAGUCAGUGGUGAAAGCUCCGGGCUUAACUUGGAAACUGCCAUUGAUACUGUCAGUCUUGAAUGUCGUAGAGGUAAGCGGAAUGUUGCAUGUAGCGGUGAAAUGCUUAGAUAUGUUACAGAACACCAAUUGCGAAGGCAGCUUACUAUGCGAUAAUUGACGCUGAGGCACGAAAGCGUGGGGAGCAAACAGGAUUAGAAACCCCUGUAGUCC
RNAcentral lists this ribosomal RNA (427 nucleotides) under uncultured bacterium. RNAcentral's name for it is "partial 16S ribosomal RNA". It matches the Rfam family "Bacterial small subunit ribosomal RNA", at positions 354 to 796 of the family's 1533-position model. The record is from RNAcentral.